AACGAACGCUGGCGGCAUGCCUAACACAUGCCAGUCGAACGAUGCCUUCGGGCUUAGGGGCGCACGGGGGCGUAACGCGUGGGAAUCUGCCCUUGGCUUCGGUAUAACUGUUAGAAAUGUAUGCUAAUACCGGAUGAUGUCCCCCUGAGAGAUCUUGGGGACUACAGAUUUAUCGGCGAGGAAUGAGCCCGCGUAGGAUUAGGUAGUCGGAGGGGUAAAGGACUACCAAGCCGGCGACCCUGAGCUGGUCUGAGAGGUUGAUCAGCCACACUGGGACUGAGACAAGGCCCAGACGCCUACGGGAAGCAGCAGUGGGGAAUAUUGGACAGGGGGGGGAACCCUGAUACAGCAAGGCCGGGUGAGUGAUGAAGGCCUUAGGGUUGUAAAGCUCUUUUACCAGGGAGGAUAAGGACAGUACCUGGAGAAUAGGCCCCGGCUAACUCCGG
RNAcentral lists this ribosomal RNA (446 nucleotides) under uncultured bacterium. Its description in RNAcentral is "partial 16S ribosomal RNA". It matches the Rfam family "Bacterial small subunit ribosomal RNA", at positions 29 to 506 of the family's 1533-position model. The record is from RNAcentral.